GGUGAACCGGCGGAUGGGCAUUUGCCGAUAUCUGAAAGUAGACCUGUGAACACGUGUUUAACAUGAACGGUGCCUUGUUGGGCUAGAGUGAUUCUGCCCUGCGAGUCGCCGUGCCCACCCGGUGCUAGCACUCGGUGGGCUAACGAAACCCGGCGCGGUAAGCGUCAAGGAAAACAAAAACAGAAUCGAUGCCCCUAUGGCUCCCGUCCGCGGUGUGGCUGUGGGGAUGCGUCGUAUCUUGAAAGUCAAAACGACUCUCGGCAACGGAUAUCUCGGCUCUCGCAUCGAUGAAGAACGUAGCGAAAUGCGAUACUUGGUGUGAAUUGCAGAAUCCCGUGAACCAUCGAGUCUUUGAACGCAAGUUGCGCCCGACGCCUCCCGGCUGAGGGCACGCCUGCCUGGGCGUCACGCAUCGCGUCGCCCCCUCCCAAUCCCUUGUGGUAUGGUGAUGGGGCGGACAUUGGCUUCCCGUUAGCUCGGUUAGCCCAAAUGGGAUCCCUCAUCGACGGAUGUCACAACCAGUGGUGGUUGAAAGAUCAUUGGUGCUGUUGUGCUUCACCCUGUCGCUUGUUCGGGCAUCGUCAUAAACCAACGGCGUGUAAAGCGCCUUCGACCGCGACCCCAGGUCAGACGGGACUACCCGCUGAGUUUAAGCAU
This 657-nucleotide ribosomal RNA is filed under the name Plantago afra (glandular plantain). RNAcentral describes it as "eukaryotic LSU rRNA". The stretch from base 253 to 408 matches the Rfam family "5.8S ribosomal RNA". The record is from RNAcentral. Lineage: Eukaryota; Viridiplantae; Streptophyta; Magnoliopsida; Lamiales; Plantaginaceae.